This 88-nucleotide transfer RNA is filed under the name Alienimonas californiensis. RNAcentral describes it as "Planctomycetes bacterium CA12 tRNA-Ser". It matches the Rfam family "tRNA". Rfam says of the family: Transfer RNA (tRNA) molecules are approximately 80 nucleotides in length. Their secondary structure includes four short double-helical elements and three loops (D, anti-codon, and T loops). Further hydrogen bonds mediate the characteristic L-shaped molecular structure. tRNAs have two regions of fundamental functional importance: the anti-codon, which is responsible for specific mRNA codon recognition, and the 3' end, to which the tRNAs corresponding amino acid is attached (by aminoacyl-tRNA synthetases). tRNAs cope with the degeneracy of the genetic code in two manners: having more than one tRNA (with a specific anti-codon) for a particular amino acid; and 'wobble' base-pairing, i.e. permitting non-standard base-pairing at the 3rd anti-codon position. The record is from RNAcentral. Lineage: Bacteria; Pseudomonadati; Planctomycetota; Planctomycetia; Planctomycetales; Planctomycetaceae.
GGAGAGGUGCCGGAGUGGUCGAACGGGCCGGUCUCGAAAACCGGUGUGCCCUUAUGGGUACCGGGGGUUCGAAUCCCCCCCUCUCCGC